RNAcentral lists this ribosomal RNA (465 nucleotides) under Vreelandella stevensii. Its description in RNAcentral is "partial 16S ribosomal RNA". It matches the Rfam family "Bacterial small subunit ribosomal RNA", at positions 338 to 795 of the family's 1533-position model. Lineage: Bacteria; Pseudomonadati; Pseudomonadota; Gammaproteobacteria; Oceanospirillales; Halomonadaceae. The record is from RNAcentral.
CCUACGGGGGGCUGCAGUGGGGAAUAUUGGACAAUGGGGGCAACCCUGAUCCAGCCAUGCCGCGUGUGUGAAGAAGGCCCUCGGGUUGUAAAGCACUUUCAGUGAGGAAGAACGCCUGGUGGUUAAUACCCAUCAGGAAAGACAUCACUCACAGAAGAAGCACCGGCUAACUCCGUGCCAGCAGCCGCGGUAAUACGGAGGGUGCGAGCGUUAAUCGGAAUUACUGGGCGUAAAGCGCGCGUAGGUGGCUUGAUAAGCCGGUUGUGAAAGCCCCGGGCUCAACCUGGGAACGGCAUCCGGAACUGUCAAGCUAGAGUGCAGGAGAGGAAAGUAGAAUUCCCGGUGUAGCGGUGAAAUGCGUAGAGAUCGGGAGGAAUACCAGUGGCGAAGGCGGCCUUCUGGACUGACACUGACACUGAGGUGCGAAAGCGUGGGUAGCAAACAGGAUUAGAUACCCUUGUAGUC